CGUCGAACGAGCUAGCGUACAUCCGUAUAUAUUGUAUGUACGUACUACUAUGUAUGCAUGUAUGUACGUACGUACGUACACUGGCGCUCGCGCAAAUCCUUGUGUACGUGAGAGUAUAGGAACGAUGGUGAGAGCAAGGCAGUUUGGUGGGAGGGGUAAGGGGAAGGGGAGGGGGAGGCGGUAGAGGAAGAACGAACCGAUCGAUCGACGACGACGCGAUAGUAGUUCGCUACGAGCAGGAAAGGGACGGCCGUGGAACGAGGUAAUCCGUUUAGGUAUCUUUAUACCCAGGCAUUCACGACUCCACACGUUCGAUCGUUGUUUUGAAACAGGGGUGGGGGCGUGGCGAGUAUGGGCGUAGCCCAAAACUGGCAAAAUGGCGGCAAGCCCCGUCCACCGGACACGCCCAUCGUGUAAAGCGCAAUUGCGGCUCCGCCGCCAGGCUACGCGCGCAUCGGCUGCGCUUGCCUUUCUUCGCCGCCUCCCCGUGUUGUCUUACGUUCGCUAACCUCGAAUCUCUCUUACGAACGAUCGACGAAGUCCGAUAUAAUACGUACUAUAUAUCGUAUCAACAAACGCAAGUUAUAUUUUCUUCGGAUAUUUUUCUUACCGAGAAACGGACGGAACGUAAUUAUAGAAGUACUCGCUUAUUUUCUUGCAUUGUUAUUAUGGGAAAGCGGAAAUCCACUUUUGUAGGUUAUGCGGAAGUUCGAACGCCGCGUCAGGUCUAAGGACGCCAUGUUGUUCUCAUUGCCGAGAAUUCUCGAGAAGAGCCGAAGUUGGUCGAUUACGUCGACGCCUACGAAUACAAUAUGGGGUCUUUUGCGAUAUGUUACAUGGGCAUACACACACACACAUACACAUACGUAGUACACACGUAGUAUCAACUACACACAUUCUUACAUAUACGUACGCACGCACAUGUACACGUAUUUCAAAGUAAACAAAGAUAGAUGUUACGGAAAGAUAUUAUACUCCAACAUAGGAUCGUCAAAGAAUUUAUUGAUCGAGACAUCCUCGGAUAAACCUUUACGUCUACGCGUUUUCAACAUAAAUUCUCUGGCUAAAUGCGUGGCCGGUUGUGGUUCCAAUGGUCUAAUGGUAAUGGUUUUGUCAAGAGGAUCUCCAGAUCCGUCUCGAAACCAAAACUAUCGAUAGCCGGUAUAAAAGCUUUGAUCGUGUAUAAAGGACUUCCUGGAACAGGUGCAUCUUGAGUAACGUGACCUCGACGUUUCGCUAAAACGGUAUAAACAGCGGACACGCAAUCAGCCGGUGCUUGAACUUCAACGAAGAAAUAUGGCUCCAUUAAUCUCGGCGUGGCCAUUAAAAAUGCCGAAUAAGCGACUCUCCUCGCGGUAGGAAUGAUUUGACCACCUGAAUAUAAAGAUAACAAACAAAUAGA
Vespula pensylvanica (western yellowjacket) is the source of this 1402-nucleotide long non-coding RNA. RefSeq lists it as uncharacterized. The record is from RefSeq and is a predicted model, not a curated record. The transcript has 4 exons. Lineage: Eukaryota; Metazoa; Arthropoda; Insecta; Hymenoptera; Vespidae.